RNAcentral lists this transfer RNA (77 nucleotides) under Flavobacteriales bacterium. RNAcentral's name for it is "tRNA-Ala". It matches the Rfam family "tRNA". From Rfam's summary of the family: Transfer RNA (tRNA) molecules are approximately 80 nucleotides in length. Their secondary structure includes four short double-helical elements and three loops (D, anti-codon, and T loops). Lineage: Bacteria; Pseudomonadati; Bacteroidota; Flavobacteriia; Flavobacteriales. RNAcentral also lists the same sequence under 1 other name. The record is from RNAcentral.
GGGGCAUUAGCUCAGCUGGCUAGAGCGCUACAAUGGCAUUGUAGAGGUCAUCGGUUCGACUCCGAUAUGCUCCACCA